UCCCUUUUAAAUGCCAAGAGGUCCGCAGCUUUCUGUCGCCGGUAUUUAAAAUUCUCUGAUUUUUUUAACAAAAAGUGAAUUUUAUGUACACUAUAUUUGUUCGUAAACUCUUGUUUGUGACAUCGCUGAGCUCUCCAAAUAACUUUGAUCGAGAGAUGGUGUCCCGACGAAUUGGAUCAAAGGGUGACGCUCCAGAGCGCGACGCGGCCUUCUUCCGAAGAGGAGACCUGGAUCAUCUCCUGAACUUGAUGUUCUUCUUUACGAUGACCUACAUAUGUAGCAUGCAUGAUCUCAGAUGAGGCUUUAUUUUUUUAAUUGGGAUCGAAAGUGACUGGUGAGGCAUAUUCAUCGAAAAGGGUCAAAUCUGCAGAAGAGGGCAACAACACCUCGGACGCGACGUGAAGAAUUUUUUGUUUUGCAUCUGCCUGACGUGAUUUAUGGGUAGAGAUUCGGGAUAGAAAGGCUAGCAUAGCCCAGGCUCAACCCAAAACCAACUAAAAAGAUAAUUCAAUCAAAGAAGAUUCCAGAUGAAAUAUUGUAAGACGCGUGUGAUUGGUCCCAAAAUAUCUUUGGUCCCAAAGCUUCUUCGGAUUCUCCAAGGCACCGUCGAAUACCUGAUGACGUGUACCAACUCUAGAGAAUCGCCCGAUGUCCAGGAAGUUGGGGCAUUCGCCAUGCCCAGGUGCAGUCUGACGUAACUGCCUUUUCGUCCUGUAUAUACAGGGUGCCCCAGAAAUUAAUGCAAGUAUUUUAAGGGGUGGUAGAUCUUGAUAAAAGAAACAUAUUUUCUCUUUAUCGUUUUUCAGAUAAGUC
Long non-coding RNA from Sitophilus oryzae (rice weevil), 813 nucleotides. RefSeq lists it as uncharacterized. The record is from RefSeq and is a predicted model, not a curated record. The transcript has 3 exons. Lineage: Eukaryota; Metazoa; Arthropoda; Insecta; Coleoptera; Curculionidae.